Molecule: unclassified non-coding RNA, 149 nt
Filed under: uncultured Ascomycota
Lineage: Eukaryota; Fungi; Ascomycota
Description: sequence contains ITS2
Source: RNAcentral
ACAACCCUCAAGCCCCGCUUGGUAUUGGGUGUCACCUUGUAAUUGUGGUGCAUCUCAAAAUCAGUGGCAGUGCCAUCAAGUCCCAAGUGUAGUAAAAUAUCUCACUUUGGGGUUUGAUUGUACGCUUGCCAGCAACAAAUUUUUUCAAU